RNAcentral lists this ribosomal RNA (901 nucleotides) under Stenotrophomonas sp. AUCBT. RNAcentral describes it as "bacterial SSU rRNA". It matches the Rfam family "Bacterial small subunit ribosomal RNA", at positions 49 to 939 of the family's 1533-position model. Lineage: Bacteria; Pseudomonadati; Pseudomonadota; Gammaproteobacteria; Lysobacterales; Lysobacteraceae. The record is from RNAcentral.
CUACCAUGCAGUCGACGGCAGCACAGGAGAGCUUGCUCUCUGGGUGGCGAGUGGCGGACGGGUGAGGAAUACAUCGGAAUCUACUCUGUCGUGGGGGAUAACGUAGGGAAACUUACGCUAAUACCGCAUACGACCUACGGGUGAAAGCAGGGGACCUUCGGACCUUGCGCGAUUGAAUGAGCCGAUGUCGGAUUAGCUAGUUGGCGGGGUAAAGGCCCACCAAGGCGACGAUCCGUAGCUGGUCUGAGAGGAUGAUCAGCCACACUGGAACUGAGACACGGUCCAGACUCCUACGGGAGGCAGCAGUGGGGAAUAUUGGACAAUGGGCGCAAGCCUGAUCCACCCAUACCGCGUGGGUGAAGAAGGCCUUCGGGUUGUAAAGCCCUUUUGUUGGGAAAGAAAUCCAGCUGGCUAAUACCCGGUUGGGAUGACGGUACCCAAAGAAUAAGCACCGGCUAACUUCGUGCCAGCAGCCGCGGUAAUACGAAGGGUGCAAGCGUUACUCGGAAUUACUGGGCGUAAAGCGUGCGUAGGUGGUCGUUUAAGUCCGUUGUGAAAGCCCUGGGCUCAACCUGGGAACUGCAGUGGAUACUGGGCGACUAGAAUGUGGUAGAGGGUAGCGGAAUUCCUGGUGUAGCAGUGAAAUGCGUAGAGAUCAGGAGGAACAUCCAUGGCGAAGGCAGCUACCUGGACCAACAUUGACACUGAGGCACGAGAGCGUGGGGAGCAAACAGGAUUACAUACCCUGGUAGUCCACGCCCUAAACGAUGCGAACUGGAUGUUGGGUGCAAUAUAGUCACGCAGUAUCGAAGCUAACGCGUUAAGUUCGCCGCCUGGGGAGUACGUCGCAAGACUGAAACUCAUAGGAAGUGGACGGGGGGCCCGCACAAGCGGUGGAGUA